AGUUGUUGGUUUCAAUUCUAUAAUAGGCUGGUUCAAAGAUUCAUAUUCUUGCAAGUUACAAAUCACAAUGGUCCCAGCUCCCUGUACCCCAUAAAUCAGACACAUCUCGACCUCUUAGGUCCACUAACAACAUGUGAAAAAACCCAAAAAAUUUAAGUGGAUUUAAAUCUGAUACUAUUUGCAAUGCCAUGAGCAUAUAACCAAAAAUGGUGGUUAAAUGAUGCUUCUGUUAUGAUUUAGUCAAACAUCUACACAUAUAUAUAUAUAUAUAUAUAUUAUCCUUACUUGUUUGACAACACUUUCGAGAUGGUGGAAUGUGAGGAAUUAAAU
Molecule: long non-coding RNA, 330 nt
Filed under: Carica papaya (papaya)
Lineage: Eukaryota; Viridiplantae; Streptophyta; Magnoliopsida; Brassicales; Caricaceae
Description: long non-coding RNA (CPAP_LNC013419)
Source: RNAcentral